UCUGGCGUUUGUGCUCGCGUAUCGGUAUGCCAAAAGCAUAAACAAUUAUACCUCAACGUAUUAUACCGAACUAUCGUAUUUACCCACUGCGGGACGAUACAAUCGUAUAUGUGUCAUACAAAAAAAUAAGCAGUUCGAAACUGAUCGUGCGAAAUUGUUAUUUUAAUAAUACGUAUUUUUGCCGGUAACUAUUUCAUGUUCAUAAUAUUAUUAAGUAUAAUUCACGCGCGAAUACAAAUACUUAAUACAAAAAGUAACAAUUGUAUUAAAAACGGAAUCCCGAAUGACGGGAAUGGGGGAAGACCGGGCGAUUCGCCCUCUCCGCGAAGAAUUCAUCGACAAACGGUAGUUGAUUUACGCACGUAAAACCGGGACUGUCGAAACGUUGGUUUAAACACUUUUUUGAAAAAAAAAUUACCUAUGACCGUCCCUUUCGCCCCCCCCCCUAACCAAAUUGAAAAAUGUCUGCGGACCCCCGUGGCCGUGAUGCGAACGCGUGAUGUUAUUAAACGU
This is a non-coding RNA of Cinara cedri, 513 nucleotides long. Lineage: Eukaryota; Metazoa; Arthropoda; Insecta; Hemiptera; Aphididae. The record is from the annotation of a GenBank genome assembly.